RNAcentral lists this ribosomal RNA (419 nucleotides) under bacterium. RNAcentral's name for it is "partial 16S ribosomal RNA". It matches the Rfam family "Bacterial small subunit ribosomal RNA", at positions 355 to 776 of the family's 1533-position model. The record is from RNAcentral.
UGGGGGAUAUUGCACAAUGGGCGCAAGCCUGAAGUAGCGACGCCGCGUGGGGGAUGAAGGCCUUCGGGUUGUAAACUUCUUUUGCUCUGAACAAGGCGCACUUUGGGGUGUGUUGAGUGUAGGGGUUGAUUAGCGCCGGCUAACUACGUGCCAGCAGCCGCGGUAAUACGUAGGGCGCGAGCGUUGUCCGGAAUUAUUGGGCGUAAAGGGCUUGUAGGUGGCUGGUUGCGUCUGUCGUGAAAGCUCAUGGCUUAACUGUGGGUUUGCGGUGGGUACGGGCUGGCUUGAGUGCAGUAGGGGAGGCUGGAAUUCCUGGUGUAGCGGUGGAAUGCGCAGAUAUCAGGAGGAAUACCGGUGGCGAAGGCGGGUCUCUGGGCUGUUACUGACACUGAGGAGCGAAAGCAUGGGGAGCGAACAGG